GUCUUCGAAGAUCAGCGGUGAUCGUCGCGUUUCCCUGGACUCUAGGUACCUCACCGCGGGAAGGCGAGGGUUCGAGUCCCUCCGAAGACA
Mycena metata is the source of this 90-nucleotide non-coding RNA. The record is from the annotation of a GenBank genome assembly. NCBI's taxonomy places the organism in Eukaryota, Fungi, Basidiomycota, Agaricomycetes, Agaricales, Mycenaceae.